RNAcentral lists this ribosomal RNA (857 nucleotides) under uncultured bacterium. RNAcentral describes it as "bacterial SSU rRNA". It matches the Rfam family "Bacterial small subunit ribosomal RNA", at positions 524 to 1381 of the family's 1533-position model. The record is from RNAcentral.
UACGGAGGGUGCAAGCGUUAUCCGGAUUCACUGGGUUUAAAGGGUGCGUAGGCGGGUAGGUAAGUCAGUGGUGAAAUCCUGGAGCUCAACUCCGGAACUGCCAUUGAUACUAUCUAUCUUGAAUAUUGUGGAGGUAAGCGGAAUAUGUCAUGUAGCGGUGAAAUGCUUAGAUAUGACAUAGAACACCCAUUGCGAAGGCAGCUUACUACGCAUAUAUUGACGCUGAGGCACGAAAGCGUGGGGAUCAAACAGGAUUAGAUACCCUGGUAGUCCACGCCCUAAACGAUGGAUACUCGACAUACGCGAUACACUGUGUGUGUCUGAGCGAAAGCAUUAAGUAUCCCACCUGGGAAGUACGUUCGCAAGAAUGAAACUCAAAGGAAUUGGCGGGGGUCCGCACAAGCGGUGGAGUAUGUGGUUUAAUUCGAUGAUACGCGAGGAACCUUACCUGGGCUAGAAUGCUGGGAGACCGCUAGUGAAAGCUAGUUUUGUAGCAAUACACUGCCAGUAAGGUGCUGCAUGGCCGUCGUCAGCUCGUGCCGUGAGGUGUUGGGUUAAGUCCCGCAACGAGCGCAACCCCUAUCUUUAGUUGCCAACAGGUAAUGCUGGGAACUCUAAAGAAACUGCCGCCGUAAGGUGUGAGGAAGGAGGGGAUGAUGUCAGGUCAUCAUGGCCUUUAUGCCCAGGGCUACACACGUACUACAAUGGGGAAGACAAAGGGCUGCAACAUAGCGAUAUGAAGCCAAUCCCAAAAACUUCCUCUCAGUUCAGAUUGCAGGCUGCAACUCGCCUGCAUGAAGCUGGAAUCGCUAGUAAUCGUAUAUCAGCAAUGAUACGGUGAAUACGUUCCCGGACCU